ACAUGGAUGUGACAAACACACAAGAACAAGUGUGACGUCUCUCCUGUUUCCCUUUCUAGAUGCUUCCUGAAGUUCUGCACUGCAUCUUGCCACCAUGCCAGGCUCCCUCUGAUCCAUGACCACAGCUCUGUGCAUCAGACGUCAUUCCAGAGCAGCACAGCUCUUUCCCAGGAGAUAAGUGAGGGUUUUUUUUUUGCCUACACAACAGCUCUCCUGAGCUUUCCCAUGCUGGGAGGGUGGGAGGGAGGAGAUCCAGCUUCCUCCCUGUCCGAGCGCCAGCCCCGUGGGCCUGCCAUGGCACUGCUGGGAACAUCCAGGGGCAUUAUGCAAUUUGCAGAGGCGGUUUUUCAUGCAGCCUGGCAAGACAGGGUCUGAUAAUGGCUCUCCCUUUGUUUGUAGCACACAAUCGAGCUCAUGAUCAUCUCUCCAAGUACAGGCAGCCCACGGUGUUAUGUCCUGUACUGCUGUGAUGACGAGAGCAGGGCUGUGCACAGGAGCCCUGCAGUGCUUUCAUCAGUGAAUGCUGUGCUAGUUAGGCACAAAUCAUUAAUGGUCUAAAAAGGGCUGGAAUAAGCUAGCUCGGCUCUGGUGGAAGUGCGUGUUGUGUCUUUUUCAGGAGGCAUGGGAAACCCUUCUUAAGUCUGUUUUUAAGCUUCUCAACUUUGGUUUCUCAGUAAUGUCACUGAUUCCACUUUCCAAAAGGUCAUACAGGGGAAUUCUCUUCUGCCAUCUCCAAAGAAUGACAAUGUUCCUCUAAUGAAGUAACAAAUUGUUCAACACGAUGUGCUUAGCAAUUACCCUCCCCCAUAAAGGCAUUAACAGCAGAUGAAUACUCUUCCCCAGGGAGCAACAUUAGUGCUUUAAAGAACUGAGAACUGCUCUUGAUGCUGUUUCACUUUGAUUUCUGCUCCUGGCUCCCAGAGCUCAGGACUGUUGCUUACUUCACAAAGGUUUUAUUUCGGAGGAGCAACAGGACAAUAACUAAUUCCAUAGGUUAUCUAGAAAUAACUUCCCUUUAGCAAGAAGACAAAUUGCAACCAGGAAAGACUCAAUCACUCGGGAAACUGUGUGUGCUGUGGUGUAAACCCAAACUCUCCUGUACCAUCAUGGUUUUGGAUUCAGAGGGGCAGUUUGGUGCACGCAAACACAGAUUUGGCAUCGGUACCACAUCCCUUCUAACAUGAUGGUUUUUCAUGGACUUCUCUGACAUCUCUCUUCUUCACAGACUCUUGAGAUUGAAUUGACAUCCCCAGCUUCUCUCACCAAUCCCCUGCAUUUUGGGUCUCCUAAAAUAUGGGCUUCUGAAGACGAGAUGAGCUGCUCCACUGCCAACAGCAGGUUCUGGUAUUGCCCAAGGAGCAGCAGCAGGGAAAGAGCUCGCACUCUGUUAAACUGCUUUUAGACCAGCACCUACACAAAGUCCUGCACACGUUACUCUGCCACUCACAGAAGCAUAGCAGUGCCAGUAAAGCAGAGGAUGUUUAAGACAAGAAAUAAGCUCCAUGUAGCCAGUGGAAAACCUGCUUUAAAUGUCAAAGCAUCUACAAACAUGAAGUGAACACCUAAAAGCCAAAACAUGUGCUGAUGCUCUUUUUCCACUACACUUGGCCAUCAAGCUGACCAGCAUCAGUUCACUGACAUUCAGCAUUCUCAGAUAUCUCAGAGCUGUUUACGAGUGCCCACGGAUGUCCAUUUGAUUGACGAGUGAACAGCAGCCAAGCCAGAGAAGCUCUUAUGAGUAUGAACUGUUCCCUUCUCCUGCUCAGAGCUCCUCCUAAGAGAAUUAGUCUUUAAAAUGUUCCCUUUCUGAAAACAGAGAGGAGGGGGAGAGGACUUUGGGGGUCAUGAAUGAAGAGGAAGCCAGUUUCAGUUGUUCCUAUGCAUCACUGAUUUGAGUUUUCACCAUCAUUGGUUGCACAGGGCCAUGAAGAGGAUUGCUGGGUGAGCUGAGCACAGAUGAGCUGGUGGAGCAGUGCUGACAAAUGCCCUGUGUAAAUGCGACGGCUGAUCUGCACAGGGACAUGUGAGCCAAGGAGGGAGCUGUGAGCGGAUUGCUUUGGACAGUCCAGUGCUCUCUUCCCCACAACUUCUGCAAGGGUCUGGGAAAUGAGGUGAGUGAGGCACAGAGGGUGGCAUGGGCAGGGAUGUGGGCUCAUGU
Pezoporus occidentalis (night parrot) is the source of this 2158-nucleotide long non-coding RNA. RefSeq lists it as uncharacterized. The record is from RefSeq and is a predicted model, not a curated record. The transcript has 3 exons. NCBI's taxonomy places the organism in Eukaryota, Metazoa, Chordata, Aves, Psittaciformes, Psittacidae.